CGAAAGCCUGACGGAGCAAGACCGCGUGGGGGAGGAAGGCUCUAGGGUUGUAAACCCCUUUUCUUUGGGAAGAACAAAAUGACGGUACCAAAGGAAUCAGCCUCGGCUAACUCCGUGCCAGCAGCCGCGGUAAUACGGAGGAUGCAAGCGUUAUCCGGAAUUAUUGGGCGUAAAGCGUCCGCAGGCGGCUCAACAAGUCUGCUGUCAAAACCCAGGGCUCAACUCUGGUCAGGCAGUGGAAACUACAUAGCUAGAGUUCGGUAGGGGCAAAGGGAAUUCCCGGUGUAGCGGUGAAAUGCGUAGAGAUCGGGAAGAACAUCGGUGGCGAAAGCGCUUUGCUAGACCGAAACUGACACUCAGGGACGAAAGCUAGGGGAGCG
This 380-nucleotide ribosomal RNA is filed under the name uncultured cyanobacterium. RNAcentral describes it as "bacterial SSU rRNA". It matches the Rfam family "Bacterial small subunit ribosomal RNA", at positions 376 to 770 of the family's 1533-position model. Lineage: Bacteria; Bacillati; Cyanobacteriota. The record is from RNAcentral.